GUAGGUGGCAAGCGUUGUCCGGGAACUAUUGGGCGUAAGGCGCGCGCAGGGCGGUCCUUUAAGUCUGAUGUGAAAGCCCGCGGCUCAACCGUGGAGGGUCAUUGGAAACUGGGGGACUUGAGUACAGAAGAGGAAAGCGGAAUUCCAAGUGUAGCGGUGAAAUGCGUAGAGAUUUGGAGGAACACCAGUGGCGAAGGCGGCUUUCUGGUCCGUAACUGACGCUGAGGCGCGAAAGCGUGGGGAGCAAACAGGAUUAGAUACCCUGGUAGUCCACGCCGUAAACGAUGAGUGCUAAGUGUUAGGGGGUUUCCGCCCCUUAGUGCUGCAGCUAACGCAUUAAGCACUCCGCCUAGGGAGUACGGCCGCAAAGGCUG
Molecule: ribosomal RNA, 374 nt
Filed under: uncultured organism
Description: partial 16S ribosomal RNA
Rfam family: Bacterial small subunit ribosomal RNA
Source: RNAcentral